CUUAUCUUUGUCACAUUCCUUCUGGGCUUCAAGGUGCUGCUGGCGAUGAGUUUCAUAGUCACCUACAUCUGCAGGUGGCGGAGCUGGUAACAGCUCCUGCAUGAACUGCAAUACAUUGCCUCCCGUCCUGUGCAAGAGGCUCACAUAGGGGAGAACCUGCCCCCCACUCACCGCCUUCCAUCCUGGACAUGCCCCCUUCCCCACACCCUCCUGAUGGUCCUUCUCUCUGGGCAGAGUCCUGAUGUUCCGCUCUCUUCAGAGCAGAGUCAAGGAUGGACCCUGGUCUCAGGGACCCAGAGACCCUGAUGCACAGAGCUUCACACUGGCUCUGCCUCUGCCCCAAAGACAAUCAAGAGGGUCAAGAAAAGAAGGUUCCCAUUCUGUCUGUGAUGAGGAACAGCCCUUCAAUUU
This is a long non-coding RNA of Leopardus geoffroyi (Geoffroy's cat), 411 nucleotides long. RefSeq lists it as uncharacterized. The record is from RefSeq and is a predicted model, not a curated record. The transcript has 2 exons. NCBI's taxonomy places the organism in Eukaryota, Metazoa, Chordata, Mammalia, Carnivora, Felidae.